GAUGAACGCUGGCGGCGUGCCUAAUACAUGCAAGUCGAGCGAACGGACGAGAAGCUUGCUUCUCUGAUGUUAGCGGCGGACGGGUGAGUAACACGUGGAUAACCUACCUAUAAGACUGGGAUAACUUCGGGAAACCGGAGCUAAUACCGGAUGAUAUUUUGAACCGCAUGGUUCAAAAGUGAAAGACGGUCUUGCUGUCACUUAUAGAUGGAUCCGCGCUGCAUUAGCUAGUUGGUAAGGUAACGGCUUACCAAGGCAACGAUGCAUAGCCGACCUGAGAGGGUGAUCGGCCACACUGGACCUGAGACCCGGUCCAGACUCCUACGGGAGGCAGCAGUAGGGAAUCUCCCGCAAUGGGCGAAAGCCUGACGGAGCAACGCCGCGUGAGUGAUGAAGGUCUUCGGAUCGUAAAACUCUGUUAUUAGGGAAGAACAUAUGUGUAAGUAACUGUGCACAUCUUGACGGUACCUAAUCAGAAAGCCACGGCUAACUACGU
RNAcentral lists this ribosomal RNA (496 nucleotides) under uncultured bacterium. RNAcentral describes it as "partial 16S ribosomal RNA". It matches the Rfam family "Bacterial small subunit ribosomal RNA", at positions 28 to 506 of the family's 1533-position model. The record is from RNAcentral.